Transfer RNA from Oryctolagus cuniculus (rabbit), 82 nucleotides. It matches the Rfam family "tRNA". Rfam says of the family: Transfer RNA (tRNA) molecules are approximately 80 nucleotides in length. Their secondary structure includes four short double-helical elements and three loops (D, anti-codon, and T loops). NCBI's taxonomy places the organism in Eukaryota, Metazoa, Chordata, Mammalia, Lagomorpha, Leporidae. The record is from Rfam.
GGCGCUGUGGCAUAGUGGGUAAAGCUGCUGCCUGCAGUGCUGGUAUCCCAUAUGGGCACUGGUUCAAGUCCUGUCUGCUCUA